This is a long non-coding RNA of Lethenteron reissneri (Far Eastern brook lamprey), 656 nucleotides long. RefSeq lists it as uncharacterized. The record is from RefSeq and is a predicted model, not a curated record. Lineage: Eukaryota; Metazoa; Chordata; Hyperoartia; Petromyzontiformes; Petromyzontidae.
GAGACGGAACAGUCGUGCGUUUGGUGGAGUGAGUUCUCAACGAGUGAAUUUCAAGAGAACACAGUGACUCUGGUAGUAGCGAUAGAAGAGUGAUGAGGAGGCGACUGACCAGCAAUGAGCGAUUGACUGCAGCGAAUCAGUGGUUCUCUGCUCCAGCUCUCCACUCACAAUCACAGAGCCCGUGAGUUCAUAUCCCAGCCACUUCGAUGUGGAGUUUCCCAUCACUGGCUCGGAAACCACCAACGGACGACAGCAGCAAGCAGCACCCCCCUUGAACUCGCCAACAUCGCGCGGACGCAAGGCAGGCGCGGCUACAUGGAGGGAAUCCGCAGUGUGGACAUCCAAGGGUGGGGGGGGGGUGGUGUUCCAGACUGUGGGCACAGCAGCGCAGAGGGAGCGACGUCCAACCGAGCGUUGGACUACUGGACGCUCCAGGAGCAGAACUUGUGGCGUGGAGGACAGCUGUCGAUGACACCUCUUGUUCCGUCACAAAGCCCUGCCCUCUCACGGUGGGCGAGAUCGGCGAGGGAAUGGCAUUCAGAGGAGGGAACACGUCCAAGGGGACAGCCACCGCGGAGACGGAGUGACGAGAUCAACUCGUGCGCAGGAGCGAGAACGGAUCGUGGCAUCACAGGACCGUGAUGGAUGGCAACAAU